This 468-nucleotide ribosomal RNA is filed under the name uncultured bacterium. Its description in RNAcentral is "partial 16S ribosomal RNA". It matches the Rfam family "Bacterial small subunit ribosomal RNA", at positions 28 to 507 of the family's 1533-position model. The record is from RNAcentral.
GACGAACGCUGGCGGCGUCCUUAACACAUGCAAGUCGAACGGAAAUUCCCUCCUUAUUUUGGGUGCUCGACUGGCGAACAGGUGAUUAACAACUUAGUCUCCUGCCCUUGACUUUGUGAUGACUUCAGGACACUUGCGCUAAUACCGGGUAGUCUCUCCUGCUGCUUGUUGGGGGUUUGGACGUUUCGGCGGUUGUGUGUGGACUCGCGGCUUCUCAGCUUGUUGGUGGGGUAGUGGCUUACCAAGGCUUUGACGGGUAGCGGGCCUGAGAGGGUGACCGGCCACAGUGGGACUGAGAUACGGCCCAGACUCCUAGGGGAGGCAGCAGUGGGGAAUAUUGCACAAUGGGCGGAAGCCUGAUGCAGCAAAGCCGCGUGCGGGAUGAAGGACUUCGGGUUGUAAACCGCUUUCGCCUGUGACGAAGCGUGAGUGACGGUAAUGGGUAAAGAAGCACCGGCUAAAUACGUG